Halichondria panicea is the source of this 3589-nucleotide long non-coding RNA. RefSeq lists it as uncharacterized. Lineage: Eukaryota; Metazoa; Porifera; Demospongiae; Suberitida; Halichondriidae. The transcript has 4 exons. The record is from RefSeq and is a predicted model, not a curated record.
GUAUUGUUUUCUUCAUACAGGUUGCUACCUUGUGGGGACAACUCUCAGCUCUGAUGAGGAACUUCUUGUGAUUGAUUACCACAAACAUGUCACACGAUUGUCGAUAGUAAUGAUUGUGACGUCAGAAGGCACGUGAUGCAUAUUACCUUAUACCGUGAUUGAUCAAUAGUUGUCAAGUACUCGUACUUGAUCGUCGCUAUAUACAUUUAAUACAUGACAGUACAGACUGCAGUUUAGUCUAAGACCUAACAAAGAAAUAGAAGGCCUCAGAUGGAGCCUCAACUACCAACCUCACUCUGUUGUCUCUGCAAGUCACUCCUUCCUAAAAAGACCAUCGCAGGAGGAAGAAACUGUAUGAAAGUGGCUGUACAAUUGUCAGGGAUGUUAUCAAAGAUAAUGCUGAUGCCCUCCUCUCAGUUGCAAACGAUCCAUCAGCAUUUAUUUGUCAUAGUUGCAAUAAGACAUUGGUUAACAUUAGAAACUGUGAGCUGUCUCUAAGAGCUGAAGUAUUGGACGUCUUCUCUAGCCUUGAUUAGACCUGGAUCAAAAAAGACUCUAGAUCAUUCAGCUGUCCCCGAAGCAAGAGUGUUUGCUCUGUUUCUACUGCUAUGCUUGGAGCUAGCCAUCCCAACACUCAGAUGUCAAGCCAGUCAGGGCAGACCGAAAUUCAGCAGGUUAUUAGUUUAAAGGCGUAUAUGCGCUAACAGCUAACAGUGUGAUGAAAAUAAUUAUGAUGUUGUCCAGGAGGAGUGUCAUAGUGAUGAGGCAACUCAGUCCGAGUGUGGAGGGCCCACAUCAGAGACAUCCAGUUCCAGUUUCAGAAACUAACAAUCAACAUCUCGAGGUUAUAUCUAUUUGGUUGAUCAGCCUACUAAUUUAUACUUGUAUACAUAUGUAGGUCCAUGUAGCAUAAAAGAAAUAUACACGGAAAUUCAGAGUUAACACUCCAUUAAGGAAAAGAGUUAUUAAAAAUGUUACUCGCAAGGGUUUCACGUCAAUUUAUUCUCAGUUUAUCAGUUCGCCUUCAAAGUAAAAGAAUGUGUUGUCUCAGUUGUCCAGGAAAAUAAAAUAGGAACUAACCACAAUAAUUAUGCUCAGAUAAUCAUGACUCGAUCCUUACAGAUCUUGUGAAGCAGUGAAGCAUUUUAGUUGGGAAACUGUUAGCCUUGAGUUGCAAAAAAAUGCUCACACUUUAAAGGAUGGCACCCACAAACAAAGUUCUUAUGCUCUGUUUUCUUGCAUCUGUGCUUUUGCAAGCCAGUGAAUGUGCCUAGUACUGUGAUGAUGUGGAACAGCAAAACUGGUGACUAUAAUUAUACAGUGUACUGGCUGCUUUAUAAUUAUAUUUAGCUCACAUUAACUUUCGUCCACCAUUGAGGAUAUGAAUGUCCUACCAAGGGACAAUGAACAUUAUCGAAAUGAUCACUGAAGACCAUGACAUAGAGAUCCAGACAUGGUGUGAUGAGCGACGACCUCUGAUACAACGUCCAGCUAAUGUAUUACUGUGUAUUUAUGCUGUACCAUAGUGUUGCAGUUGCUGUGAGGGCCAUAACAUUUACGUGACUAAGCUUUGAAGUGUUCCAAUUUCAGCAAAUGUAGUUCUAAAUUCAUCUCACCAUGUUGUCACACAAUGAGCCUCGUCCACCACCAGUCGUCGUAAAUUCUCUUUAUACACAGGUGACAUGAGCAUUUCCCGGUAAACACAAUUGUUGAUUGGGAUAGUAUAUACAAGUUCAAGCUCUCCACGCAAUUCUUUCUGAUGUAUAUCGGUCUGACUGUUACCAAUGAAAUCUGUUUUAAUGCCUCUAGCCUUUGAAAAUUCGACACCUGGUCCAUCAUCAAUUUUGCAGUAGCAUUAUAGUGGUGCAGGUGCUUUGAUGAAUAGCUAGCUGCAAGGACUAUAUAUAUACUUCAGCUACAUGCAUGUGCUUAGCCAGCUGAGUUCUGCAGGGUAUACCAGAGGGGCAUGCAGUGCCUAACGAUUAUAUGAACACAUUUCGUGUUCAUGUUCUGCUCUAUUAAUUAGAUACCGAGCAAGAGUGACUCUAACCCAGGUCCGCUAUUCGAUGAGUACACUGUAUAGUCAGCAGCAAUUGUUUUUUCAUCAGGUCUUUUGCUGCCACAUUCUUACCAUACUAUCUUUGCAAGCAGAUUAACCACGCUGGGUCAAUAGAAGAAUGGCUCACAUUCCUCGAUCAGAUCACACUGAUUAGGAAAUCGCUAUUUUUUGUUACCGCAGCUGAGAGACACAAUGUGGAUGAGAGCCUCCUCUUACUUCAGUUUCAGUAUGAGGUCUUCUUGACCAACCCAAGAAAGGGCAUAAGCCACAGCUGCACAUACCAAGGCCUUACUACAGAGUUCCUCCCUGCCGGAAAUGAUCAAGAAAGGACAGAAGCCCCCGUAUAUUGCCCUGACCGAAACUGAAGGCGAAGAAGUACAGGCGUUUCUUGUGGUGGACAGAUCCAUUGUGUGUGAAGCACCUCUUUCCGUUACCCACAAUCCUCGUUAGUGCCUUCUACAUGUUUAACAUUCAAUACCCACAGGGUUGCCAAAAUGCUUAUGAAUACAUUCUUUUGGCUCAUCCGUGAAAAUACCUACUUCUGUCAAACACCUGAUUUCAUCGUUACAGAACGUUACAUUUGAGUAGACAUUCAUCUCGAUCCAAGCCAUAAUUAUAUUUUGUGCUGCUCUCUGAUGUGUUGUGAAUAAUAUUGUCACCCAAAUGAGAAGAUUGAAAGUGUAUAAUUAUGCAUGUAAAAGUAGUGUAAUUAUGUAAGUGGGUGUGAACUUCCCACUUUUUCUGGUGUAUUUUCCCACCAAUAUUGGUGUAGGUUUCACACUAAAAAAAAAAAACGAGGGGGCAAAGGCAGAAGUGGAUUACCAAAGAUUUCCCCAAAGUAGUUAAAGUCCUGGAAGUUUUCCCAUGUCUACGAGAACACAAAAUUAUGCUCAGCAAACUUUGCUUCCUGACUGGCAGCAGUGAAUCGGCUAUUACUACCAGAUGGGACAAAGUACAACAGCAAGUGCUGAGUUUCACUGCCAGGGAAAUAGAGGAAGACAGUAAAGGGUCUCCUGUCUGAGUAUUCUUCAAUUGGGGUUAAGAGUGAAGAUUGUACCACGGCAUAUGUAAUCAAGAUUUUGCUUGCUCUGCUCCAGUCAAGGGGAAAGGAAAAUAAGUCCUUCAUUACGUUUUACCUGGGGGAGAGUGUGGACUUAGAGGACAGUCUUGAUGAGGUCCAAACCAAUGAGCCAGUGGUUCUCUCAUUCGGAGAUGAGUUGAGCAGUGUCAGCAUCUUUAAGUUAAUUGUUGAGAAGGACAAUGUGUUUCAUAUGCCGUCCCUUUCGGUUGCAGUUCACUCCGCAUAUUAUAUUUACAAUAUCACCUUCCCUCCAUCAUUUUGCACUUUAUGGUCUUUUUGGAGAAUUAUGUUUAUGAAAUGAAGGCUUCUCAGAAGCCAUCACUUUGUGUUACCACCCUAGCUGAUAGUUUGAUUCGAGAAACUCUUAACUGACUUUACUGACUUAAUACAUGUACUUGUAUCUUGGUCACAAUAUUAUUGUUUCUUGUACAUUGGUGUUUAAUGUGAUG